RNAcentral lists this non-coding RNA (30 nucleotides) under Rattus norvegicus (Norway rat). The record is from RNAcentral. Lineage: Eukaryota; Metazoa; Chordata; Mammalia; Rodentia; Muridae.
UUGCAUGUGGUUCCCUGAUGGUUAGUGUUC